RNAcentral lists this ribosomal RNA (653 nucleotides) under uncultured bacterium. RNAcentral's name for it is "bacterial SSU rRNA". It matches the Rfam family "Bacterial small subunit ribosomal RNA", at positions 56 to 753 of the family's 1533-position model. The record is from RNAcentral.
UGCAAGUCGAACGCUCACCUUCGGGUGGGAGUGGCAGACGGGUGAGUAACACGUGGGAACGUACCCUUUGGUUCGGGACAACUCUGGGAAACUGGAGCUAAUACCGGAUACGCCCUUUUGGGGAAAGGUUUACUGCCGAAGGAUCGGCCCGCGUCUGAUUAGCUAGUUGGUGGGGUAACGGCCUACCAAGGCGACGGUCAGUAGCUGGUCUGAGAGGAUGAUCAGCCACACUGGGACUGAGACACGGCCCAGACUCCUACGGGAGGCAGCAGUGGGGAAUAUUGGACAAUGGGCGCAAGCCUGAUCCAGCCAUGCCGCGUGAGUGAUGAAGGCCUUAGGGUUGUAAAGCUCUUUUAUCCGGGACGAUAAUGACGGUACCGGAGGAAUAAGCCCCGGCUAACUUCGUGCCAGCAGCCGCGGUAAUACGAAGGGGGCUAGCGUUGCUCGGAAUCACUGGGCGUAAAGGGCGCGUAGGCGGCGUUUUAAGUCGGGGGUGAAAGCCUGUGGCUCAACCACAGAAUGGCCUUCGAUACUGGGACGCUUGAGUCUGGUAGAGGUUGGUGGAACUGCGAGUGUAGAGGUGAAAUUCGUAGAUAUUCGCAAGAACACCGGUGGCGAAGGCGGCCAACUGGACCGGCACUGACGCUGAGGCG